Molecule: ribosomal RNA, 468 nt
Filed under: uncultured bacterium
Lineage: Bacteria
Description: partial 16S ribosomal RNA
Rfam family: Bacterial small subunit ribosomal RNA
Source: RNAcentral
GACGAACGCUGGCGGCGUGCUUAACACAUGCAAGUCGAACGGAAAGGCCCUGCUUUUGUGGGGUGCUCGAGUGGCGAACGGGUGAGUAACACGUGAGUAACCUGCCCUUGACUUUGGGAUAACUUCAGGAAACUGGGGCUAAUACCGGAUAGGAGCUCCUGCUGCAUGGUGGGGGUUGGAAAGUUUCGGCGGUUGGGGAUGGACUCGCGGCUUAUCAGCUUGUUGGUGGGGUAGUGGCUUACCAAGGUUUUGACGGGUAGCCGGCCUGAGAGGGUGACCGGCCACAAUGGGACUGAGAUACGGCCCAGACUCCUACGGGAGGCAGCAGGGGGGAAUAUUGCACAAUGGACGGAAGCCUGAUGCAGCAACGCCGCGUGCGGGAUGACGGCCUUCGGGUUGUAAACCGCUUUCGCCUGUGACGAAGCGUGAGUGACGGUAAUGGGUAAAGGAGCACCGGCUAACUACGUG